GAGGGUAUAGCCCAGAGGGAGAGAGCAUGCUUAGCAUGCUUGAGGUCCUGGGUUCAAUCCCCAGCACCUCCA
This 72-nucleotide transfer RNA is filed under the name Camelus bactrianus (Bactrian camel). It matches the Rfam family "tRNA". From Rfam's summary of the family: Transfer RNA (tRNA) molecules are approximately 80 nucleotides in length. Their secondary structure includes four short double-helical elements and three loops (D, anti-codon, and T loops). Lineage: Eukaryota; Metazoa; Chordata; Mammalia; Artiodactyla; Camelidae. RNAcentral also lists the same sequence under 2 other names. The record is from Rfam by way of RNAcentral.